RNAcentral lists this ribosomal RNA (429 nucleotides) under Chloroflexota bacterium. RNAcentral describes it as "Chloroflexi bacterium partial 16S ribosomal RNA". It matches the Rfam family "Bacterial small subunit ribosomal RNA", at positions 355 to 776 of the family's 1533-position model. The record is from RNAcentral. Lineage: Bacteria; Bacillati; Chloroflexota.
UGGGGAAUAUUGCACAAUGGGCGCAAGCCUGAUGCAGCCAUGCCGCGUGUGUGAAGAAGGCCUUCGGGUUGUAAAGCACUUUCAGCGGGGAGGAAGGCGAUAAGGUUAAUAACCUUGUCGAUUGACGUUACCCGCAGAAGAAGCACCGGCUAACUCCGUGCCAGCAGCCGCGGUAAUACGGAGGGUGCAAGCGUUAAUCGGAAUUACUGGGCGUAAAGCGCACGCAGGCGGUCUGUAAAGUCGGAUGUGAAAUCCCCGGGCUUAACCUGGGAACUGCAUUCGAAACUGGCAGGCUAAAGUCUUGUAGAGGGGGGUAGAAUUCCAGGUGUAGCGGUGAAAUGCGUAGAGAUCUGGAGGAAUACCGGUGGCGAAGGCGGCCCCCUGGACGAAGACUGACGCUCAGGUGCGAAAGCGUGGGGAGCAAACAGG